Molecule: long non-coding RNA, 466 nt
Organism: Brassica rapa (field mustard)
Lineage: Eukaryota; Viridiplantae; Streptophyta; Magnoliopsida; Brassicales; Brassicaceae
Source: RefSeq, a predicted model, not a curated record
AUUUGAAUAGUUACAAAACAACUAAAAUUUUAAUAAAUCAACAAUUCCAAUUUAGUUAUAUAAUUAUAACUUUAUUUUUCUUAAUCUUAGGAAGAUUGUGAAUGAAUUUACUUGUUCCGUAGUCAUUUGUAUCUAAACCGAAACAUAUAGUAAAAAAAAACUAAAUAUUAGGAAUUAGUAAAUCAGAGUAUUUCGGUUGGAAUAUUGUGAAUGAAUUUACUUGUUCCGUAGUCAUUUGUAUCUAAACCGAAACAUAUAGUAAAAAAAAAACUAAAUAUUAGGAAUUAGUAAAUCAGAGUAUUUCGGUUGGAAUGUCACGUAAGAUGAUAACUCGAAUAAUACUGAAAGUCUGUAUAGUAACUAAUUAUUUAAAUAUUCUAUUAUAUCAUUACUCAAAAGUUAGUUAUAGGAUGACAAAAAGUUUCCUUUUAGUAUUGUUAUGAUUUCAACGUCAAAAGCCAAAAAC